AGGCCAAUGCGAGCUAGAGUGAUGAAUAGAAGCUGUCCUUCAGGAGUCUUAGCCUCAGAUGAACUCAAACACUGCCAGUGAAAAAUAACCUGACCUCCCUUUCCUCCUUCUCUACCAUCUCCUGUAGGUGCUUUCCAUUACUGGACUCAACAAGAAGUAAAGGGCACAGGAGGCACAUACCACGCAAUUGUACAGGGUUGGCUGGAUUUAGCUGGGCAGUCCUUCACUAACUGACACUCUAUUUGGGAUGA
Molecule: long non-coding RNA, 251 nt
Filed under: Homo sapiens (human)
Lineage: Eukaryota; Metazoa; Chordata; Mammalia; Primates; Hominidae
Description: non-protein coding lnc-SETD6-6:2
Source: RNAcentral